AUUGAACGCUGGCGGCAGGCCUAACACAUGCAAGUCGAAUGGUAACAGGAAACAGCUUGCUGUUUCGCUGACGAGUGGCGGACGGGUGAGUAAUGUUUGGGAAACUGCCUGAUGGAGGGGGAUAACUACUGGAAACGGUAGCUAAUACCGCAUAACGUCGCAAGACCAAAGAGGGGGACCUUCGGGCCUCUUGCCAUCAGAUGUGCCCAGAUGGGAUUAGCUAGUAGGUGGGGUAACGGCUCACCUAGGCGACGAUCCCUAGCUGGUCUGAGAGGAUGACCAGCCACACUGGAACUGAGACACGGUCCAGACUCCUACGGGAGGCAGCAGUGGGGAAUAUUGCACAAUGGGCGCAAGCCUGAUGCAGCCAUGCCGCGUGUAUGAAGAAGGCCUUCGGGUUGUAAAGUACUUUCAGCGGGGAGGAAGGGAGUAAAGUUAAUACCUUUGCUCAUUGACGUUACCCGCAGAAGAAGCACCGGCUAACUCCGUG
RNAcentral lists this ribosomal RNA (490 nucleotides) under uncultured bacterium. RNAcentral's name for it is "partial 16S ribosomal RNA". It matches the Rfam family "Bacterial small subunit ribosomal RNA", at positions 30 to 507 of the family's 1533-position model. The record is from RNAcentral.